RNAcentral lists this ribosomal RNA (465 nucleotides) under Vreelandella stevensii. Its description in RNAcentral is "partial 16S ribosomal RNA". It matches the Rfam family "Bacterial small subunit ribosomal RNA", at positions 338 to 795 of the family's 1533-position model. The record is from RNAcentral. Lineage: Bacteria; Pseudomonadati; Pseudomonadota; Gammaproteobacteria; Oceanospirillales; Halomonadaceae.
CCUACGGGGGGCUGUAGUGGGGAAUAUUGGACAAUGGGGGGAACCCUGAUCCAGCCAUGCCGCGUGUGUGAAGAAGGCCCUCGGGUUGUAAAGCACUUUCAGUGAGGAAGAACGCCUGGUGGUUAAUACCCAUCAGGAAAGACAUCACUCACAGAAGAAGCACCGGCUAACUCCGUGCCAGCAGCCGCGGUAAUACGGAGGGUGCGAGCGUUAAUCGGAAUUACUGGGCGUAAAGCGCGCGUAGGUGGCUUGAUAAGCCGGGUGUGAAAGCCCCGGGCUCAACCUGGGAACGGCAUCCGGAACUGUCAAGCUAGAGUGCAGGAGAGGAAGGUAGAAUUCCCGGUGUAGCGGUGAAAUGCGUAGAGAUCGGGAGGAAUACCAGUGGCGAAGGCGGCCUUCUGGACUGACACUGACACUGAGGUGCGAAAGCGUGGGUAGCAAACAGGAUUAGAUACCCUAGUAGUC